Molecule: ribosomal RNA, 365 nt
Filed under: uncultured microorganism
Description: bacterial SSU rRNA
Rfam family: Bacterial small subunit ribosomal RNA
Source: RNAcentral
GAGUUUGAUCGUGGCUCAGGAUGAACGCCGGCGGUGUGCCUAAUACAUGCAAGUCGUACGCACUGGCCCAACUGAUUGAUGGUGCUUGCACCUGAUUGACGAUGGAUCACCAGUGAGUGGCGGACGGGUGAGUAACACGUAGGUAACCUGCCCCGGAGCGGGGAUAACAUUUGGAAACAGAUGCUAAUACCGCAUAACAACAAAGGCCACAUGGCUUUUGUUUGAAAGAUGGCUUUGGCCAUCACUCUGGGAUGGACCUGCGGUGCAUUAGCUAGUUGGUAAGGUAACGGCUUACCAAGGCGAUGAUGCAUAGCCGAGUUGAGAGACUGAUCGGCCACAAGUGGAACUGAGGCACGGUCCAUACU